GACGAACGCUGGCGGCGCGCUUAACACAUGCAAGUCGAACGGAAAGGCCUGCUUUCCCUUGUGGCUUUCGGGUACUCGAGUGGCGAACGGGUGAGUAACACGUGAGUGAUCUGCCCCCAACUUGGGUAUAAGCCUGGGAAACUGGGUCUAAUUCCCGAUAGGACUGCAGGGUUGUGCCUGUGGUGGAAAACGAUUUUCUAGUGGUUGGGGAUGAGCUCGCGGCCUAUCAGCUUGUUGGUGGGGUAAUGGCCUACCAAGGCGGCGACUGGUAGCCGGCCUGGGAGGGUGGACGGUGAAAGUGAGACUGAGACCAGGCCCAGACGGCAAGGGGAGGUAGAGGAUGUGAAUCUAGGAGAGAGGGCGGAAGCCUGAAGCAGCGCGGGAGCGAGGAGGAUGAUGGCAUCGGGGUUGUAUACUACUAGCGAAGGAGAGGAAGCUAACUGGCUGGAAGGGUGGUGACGGUAGUGGUAGAAGAAGCACCGGCUAACUACGUG
This 494-nucleotide ribosomal RNA is filed under the name uncultured bacterium. RNAcentral's name for it is "partial 16S ribosomal RNA". It matches the Rfam family "Bacterial small subunit ribosomal RNA", at positions 28 to 507 of the family's 1533-position model. The record is from RNAcentral.